GAUGAACGCUAGCGGCAGGCCUAACACAUGCAAGUCGAGGGAGGAGCUUUCGGGCUUCGACCGGCGUACGGGUGCGUAACGCGUAUACAAUCUGCCUUUCACAUAGGGAUAGCCCGAAGAAAUUUGGAUUAAUACCUAAUGGUAUAUAGAGGUGGCAUCACCUUUAUAUUAAGCUGAGGCGGUGAAAGAUGAGUAUGCGUUCUAUUAGCUAGUUGGAGAGGUAACGGCUCCCCAAGGCGACGAUAGAUAGGGGUUCUGAGAGGGAUAUCCCCCACACUGGUACUGAGAUACGGACCAGACUCCUACGGGAGGCAGCAGUGAGGAAUAUUGGACAAUGGUCGGAAGACUGAUCCAGCCAUGCCGCGUGCAGGAAGACGGCCUUAUGGGUUGUAAACUGCUUUUGCAGGGGAAGAAUAAGGACUACGCGUAGUUUGAUGACGGUACUCUGCGAAUAAGCAUCGGCUAACUCCGUG
Molecule: ribosomal RNA, 473 nt
Filed under: uncultured bacterium
Lineage: Bacteria
Description: partial 16S ribosomal RNA
Rfam family: Bacterial small subunit ribosomal RNA
Source: RNAcentral